GAUGAACGCUGGCGGCGUGCCUAAUACAUGCAAGUCGAGCGAACGGACGAGAAGCUUGCUUCUCUGAUGUUAGCGGCGGACGGGUGAGUAACACGUGGAUAACCUACCUAUAAGACUGGGAUAACUUCGGGAAACCGGAGCUAAUACCGGAUAAUAUUUUGAACCGCAUGGUUCAAAAGUGAAAGACGGUCUUGCUGUCACUUAUAGAUGGAUCCGCGCUGCAUUAGCUAGUUGGUAAGGUAACGGCUUACCAAGGCAACGAUGCAUAGCCGACCUGAGAGGGUGAUCGGCCACACUGGAACUGAGACACGGUCCAGACUCCUACGGGAGGCAGCAGUAGGGAAUCUUCCACAAUGGGCGAAAGCCUGACGGAGCAACGCCGCGUGAGUGAUGAAGGUCUUCGGAUCGUAAAACUCUGUUAUUAGGGAAGAACAUAUGUGUAAGUAACUGUGCACAUCUUGACGGUACCUAACCAGAAAGCCACGGCUAACUACGUG
RNAcentral lists this ribosomal RNA (497 nucleotides) under uncultured bacterium. RNAcentral describes it as "partial 16S ribosomal RNA". It matches the Rfam family "Bacterial small subunit ribosomal RNA", at positions 28 to 507 of the family's 1533-position model. The record is from RNAcentral.